CCUACGGGAGGCAGCAGUGGGGAAUUUUGGACAAUGGGCGCAAGCCUGAUCCAGCAAUGCCGCGUGAGUGAAGAAGGCCUUCGGGUUGUAAAGCUCUUUUGUCAGGGAAGAAACGGUGGAGGUUAAUACCUUCUGCUAAUGACGGUACCUGAAGAAUAAGCACCGGCUAACUACGUGCCAGCAGCCGCGGUAAUACGUAGGGUGCAAGCGUUAAUCGGAAUUACUGGGCGUAAAGCGUGCGCAGGCGGUUGUGCAAGACAGAUGUGAAAUCCCCGGGCUCAACCUGGGAAUUGCAUUUGUGACUGUACGGCUAGAGUGUGUCAGAGGGGGGUAGAAUUCCACGUGUAGCAGUGAAAUGCGUAGAGAUGUGGAGGAAUACCGAUGGCGAAGGCAGCCCCCUGGGAUAACACUGACGCUCAUGCACGAAAGCGUGGGGAGCAAACAGGAUUAGAUACCCUGGUAGUCCACGCCCUAAACGAUGUCUACUAGUUGUCGGGUCUUUAUUGACUUGGUAACGCAGCUAACGCGUGAAGUAGACCGCCUGGGGAGUACGGUCGCAAGAUUAAAACNCAAAUGAAUUGACGGCUGAGACGNGCGAGGACGACGACGAGGGAGGAGG
Molecule: ribosomal RNA, 619 nt
Filed under: uncultured bacterium
Lineage: Bacteria
Description: bacterial SSU rRNA
Rfam family: Bacterial small subunit ribosomal RNA
Source: RNAcentral